Tupaia belangeri chinensis (Chinese tree shrew) is the source of this 469-nucleotide long non-coding RNA. RefSeq lists it as uncharacterized. The transcript is spliced from 3 exons. NCBI's taxonomy places the organism in Eukaryota, Metazoa, Chordata, Mammalia, Scandentia, Tupaiidae. The record is from RefSeq and is a predicted model, not a curated record.
UGAUCCUCCCUCCCUCAGGGUUCCGAGCCACGGAGAGUCUGUUACAACUGGUGCUAGCUCAUUCAUUCAACAGAUAUUCUGGGGCACUUACCAUUCACAGUUGCAGGCUACAGGCAAAGGGGCUGUACCCACUUGAGACGAGGAGUGAGUGAUUGGAAAGCGCGUCUCCGACGCAGGGUCCUGAUUGCAUUAGACAAGGGGCAUGAAGACUGAUUAUCGCCGCUGAUUGCGCAGAACCCGGGGCUGGAGGUGCAAGAGCGGCGGCGCCUUCCCGGAAACGACAGCACGGACAGGAGGCUGGUCUCUGGGCCGCUCGGUGCUCAUCGCUAAUCGACGUGCGCGAAGCAGCGGGCAUCGCCUGAGCGUUCCGAACGUCCCUAAUUGUGACUGAGCAGAUGGGCCCCCGAAGAUCACACGUCACCCUAUGUGAAAGGGUUGCUGGUACAUCAUUAAUUAAAACACCUUGGCU